UGCCCCCUCCCGCCGCAUCCCCAUCCCCUUCUCUUCUUUGUGGAUGCGCCCGCCCAGGCCGCCGGUGACCCUCACCAUCAGAGCCCUCCCCCACGUCGUCGUCGGAGGGAGUUGUCGCUUUGGCUAGGAUAGGGUCUUUGCCGAGGGUGGAGGUGCCCCAGUUCCCCAUCUCCCCGCCUCAGUGAUGGAGAGGUGCGAGAUGGAUGUGGGGAGGAGCGGGCAUGGUGCAGUGGCUGAAGCAGGCGUUGGCGUGGUGGCGGCGUCGGGAGCGGUUGGAGGCGACCACGGGCAUCCAGUCGUAACGGCAGGGGGCGAUGUGGCUGCUCGAGGUCCGGUUCAUCUUGGAUGUCACGGAGGUAACCCAUAUCCGAGCAGUACUUCACUCCAAUCGCAUGACACGCUGCUCCCAGUGAGGCUAAAUCCCCAUAUUAUCCAUCCAAAUCUGUCGUGUUCUCUGAAUGAUGUGCUGUGAGCUUCAUGGUUGGGUGAAGACUCCUGCUUAAAGUUUUCGAUCUACACAGUUUCCGGGAUGGAUGAGUGGUGUGACUAAUUUGUUUCUGACAAUUCCAAGGUUUCCGUGUGGUUUCAGUAAAAUUUGUUGAUUGGGAUAAGUUUGAUUGAUCUGAUGAUUUUGUCGUUUCUUUCUGUCAAGAAAAGGUUGAUCUCAUGUUGUUUAUUUUUUAGUAUAUGGGAUUUAUUUUGCAGGACAGAAUUUUGUGGGCAGAGUGGUAAGAACUGACAAUUAAUUGACUUAAUUAAUUCCAUAUUUUGUGUUUGCAUUAUAAAUCAGUUCAGUUUUUAUGCAAAAUAUCUUUGCACCUGUGUUCAUCUGCUCCUCUGACCACUCCAUGCCAUGCGUAUGUGCAGUCCUUGCCUCAUUGGACAUGUUCACUCUCAUGGCGAGCCUCAGUGGCCUGUGGCCGCCAGCGUGCCCUCUCGGUGCCUGCCGGUGCAAGAAGGCAUCGACGGGGCAGAUGGUGGCCCUGUACACUGGUUUGUGCCUGCUCUGCCUGAAUUUCGAAAAUAAGUUUUCAUGAGUUCUUCAAGUUAAGUAGAUUUCGUGUAUGGAUUUCUUUUCCUAGCAUUAACUUUUACUUGUGUUUAUUCGGUUUGUACGCAAGAAUUCUAGAGCCAUGGAUGCAAGAAAAUAGAUUUGGGUCUGGUAUUCUAAUAUGAGUCGUUUUGAGAAGUGAAAAAUGAAGACUCUUAAUUGCAAACCAGUAACGGAAGAAGAAAUAAAAUUUUAUUGAUCCCAAAUGACAAUGGAUCUGCUCUCUGUUUCUAUAAGUUCAUUUCAUUCUGCAAGCUUCUCCAAUAAUUACCUAUAAUUUUUCAGAUAUAGCAUUGCGAAUCGUCUGAACUUUCUUGUGAACAUUGCAGGCAGCGCCAAUAUUCAUGCACUUGAAAAACCUCGGACAGUGAAGAACAUGGGAGUGCAAGGGCACAUUAUGUAUUCUUGAUAUAAUGGUAGGAAGUAUGUAAAUAAUGUUAUUUGUAGUGAGACUGACAAAGCUUAUGCAUGAGAUAGAGCUUCAUUGUACAUUACUUUGCAGGUUUCAAGCCUUUUGAUGGAAGCUCAUGUAUCUUCCUAGCAAGGCUGAUGGACUCUGGUGCUUGGUGAAUGUUGCCCAGCCUUGACCUCUCUUAAGUUUUGCAUAAAUAGUUAAAUACAUCAUCUGAGCUAAUCAAUUUAUAUGAAAACAAAUCAGUAGUGAUUUCGUCAAAUAUAUGGGUUAUUUUGAUGACAGUUCGCUUCUCUCCCUAGAUGAUCAAAUCAACUAUUUUAAUCUCAUUGAACAACUAGAUGAUUGAAGUGCUAAUCAAAUUAAUAUGCCCCAACCAGUUUAUUGGGUACUAAUAGAAUUAAUAUGCUCUCACAGGUUUAUUAGGUGAUAACUAAAACGAACAUUCUUUGGCUGACAUUUGAAGUAAGAUUAAAAACAACCUACAGAACAAACUGGAGAUGGUACACAUCAGAUGGCUCCCUCCCAUGGAGAAUGAACUGAAGAUUAAUAUUGAUGGCGCUUUCCACCCUGAACCAAACACUGGUGGUUGGGGUGCAGUCAUCAGGAAUCAUAAAGGAGAGGUAAAAGUAUGUGGGUGCCUAGCUAGGAAUGGAUAAAGGAGUGACAGCCAUUGGCCUUGAAACAGAUUCAGUGCUGCUGAAGCAAGGGGUAAACAAUGAUGAAUGAGGCCUCUCUGCUGUCUACCUAGGCUUAGAGGAGCUCAAGGAAUAUCUGAAGCAAAACUUUGAAGUGUGUCAUUUUACUUCUGCUAGGAGGAACUGUAAUAAAGUAGGCCGUUGUUUUGCUAGCUAUGGUAGUACCUUAGCAUGUAUGAUCAUCUUCAAACAGAUCAUGUAAUUCCACUUGUAUCGGACCUGGUGGCGACUCUUCUCUAAUUUCUGCAUACAUCUCCCCUAGAUAUGGACCACCCUGCUUUUGCAUUAUCUGUUUUCAAACAACAAGAAACUUAGUUCUGUAAAUUCAUAAAACUAAUAUGCCAGUUAGAAUGCGCGAGUAUAUGCACCCUUUGCUUUUAAAUAAAAAGUUGUGUAAAAUAAACUGAUGUGUAAAGCUUGAUCAUUCUAAUUUGUGUUAAUUAAGUACAUAUGUACAUUAUUGAGGGGAUGAUCUAAGGUAAUGAAGCAUAAGGGGAUUAAAUAAAGUUUUAUUU
Molecule: long non-coding RNA, 2676 nt
Filed under: Triticum aestivum (bread wheat)
Lineage: Eukaryota; Viridiplantae; Streptophyta; Magnoliopsida; Poales; Poaceae
Description: long non-coding RNA (TAES_LNC025085)
Source: RNAcentral